UACGUAGGGUGCAAGCGUUGUCCGGAAUUAUUGGGCGUAAAGAGCUCGUAGGCGGUUUGUUGCGUCGGCUGUGAAAUCCCGAGGCUCAACCUCGGGUCUGCAGUCGAUACGAGCAAACUAGAGUGUUGCAGGGGAGAACGGAAUUCCCGGUGUAGCGGUGAAAUGCGCAGAUAUCGGGAGGAACACCGGUGGCGAAGGCGGUUCUCUGGGCCUGUGCUGACGCUGAGGAGCGAAAGCGUGGGGAGCGAACAGG
RNAcentral lists this ribosomal RNA (253 nucleotides) under uncultured bacterium. Its description in RNAcentral is "partial 16S ribosomal RNA". It matches the Rfam family "Bacterial small subunit ribosomal RNA", at positions 524 to 776 of the family's 1533-position model. The record is from RNAcentral.